CCCUACUCUCUGUUGCUAGUCAGGUAAUGCUGGGCACUCUGAGGGAACUGCCGGUGACAAACCGGAGGAAGGUGGGGACGACGUCAAAUCAUCACGGCCCUUAUGUCCAGGGCUACACACGUGCUACAAUGGCCGGUACAAAGAGUUGCGAGACCGCGAGGUGGAGCUAAUCUCAGAAAACCGGUCUCAGUUCGGAUUGGAGUCUGCAACUCGACUCCAUGAAGUUGGAAUCGCUAGUAAUCGUGGAUCAGCACGCCUACGGUCGAAUACGUUCCCGGGCCUU
RNAcentral lists this ribosomal RNA (283 nucleotides) under uncultured Leptospiraceae bacterium. RNAcentral's name for it is "partial 16S ribosomal RNA". It matches the Rfam family "Bacterial small subunit ribosomal RNA", at positions 1103 to 1382 of the family's 1533-position model. The record is from RNAcentral. Lineage: Bacteria; Pseudomonadati; Spirochaetota; Leptospiria; Leptospirales; Leptospiraceae.